RNAcentral lists this long non-coding RNA (214 nucleotides) under Anser brachyrhynchus (Pink-footed goose). RNAcentral's name for it is "lncRNA (ENSABRG00000001439.1)". Lineage: Eukaryota; Metazoa; Chordata; Aves; Anseriformes; Anatidae. The record is from RNAcentral.
GUAAAAGAUUUAUGGGAUGAAUUUCCUCUGAGAGCUAGAACCACAAUUGCAAAGGGAAAUCAAGGGGAAUGAAGCCCGGAAAGACUUCGCACAACCUAGGCAGGGGGUCUUUACAUCACGCAGUGACAAAACGCACCCUCAGCAUGCUGCAGAAGCUUGUGGAAUCCCUAAUUUGAGAUAAGGUCUGAGCUGGGAUCAGAGACCCCAAGCAGAG